Juglans microcarpa x Juglans regia is the source of this 105-nucleotide long non-coding RNA. RefSeq lists it as uncharacterized. The transcript is spliced from 3 exons. The record is from RefSeq and is a predicted model, not a curated record. Lineage: Eukaryota; Viridiplantae; Streptophyta; Magnoliopsida; Fagales; Juglandaceae.
GUAGGGUUUACUAAAAUGGAGAUCUUUCGAAUGCCUCAUUGGUCAGUUCAUGUUAUAGAGUUACAUAAGUAAUUAAGAGUACUCGUCAUGUGUGAGUUCCAAUAU